RNAcentral lists this non-coding RNA (26 nucleotides) under Rattus norvegicus (Norway rat). Lineage: Eukaryota; Metazoa; Chordata; Mammalia; Rodentia; Muridae. The record is from RNAcentral.
GAAGAUAAGCAUUUUCUGUGAGUCGU